UUGGUUAAGUUAGAAAGGGCGCACGGUGGAUGCCUUGGCACUAGGAGCCGAAGAAGGACGGGACUAACACCGAUAUGCUUUGGGGAGCUGUACGUAAGCGUUGAUCCAGAGAUUUCCGAAUGGGGGAACCCACUAUCUUUAGUCGGAUAGUAUCCUUACGUGAAUACAUAGCGUGAGGAAGGCAGACCCAGGGAACUGAAACAUCUAAGUACCUGGAGGAAGAGAAAGAAAAAUCGAUUUCCUGAGUAGCGGCGAGCGAAACGGAAAGAGCCCAAACCAAGAAGCUUGCUUCUUGGGGUUGUAGGACACUCUAUACGGAGUUACAAAAGAAAGUUAUAAAUGAAGCGGUCUGGAAAGGCCCGCCAAAGACGGUAACAGCCCGGUAGUUGAAAUGGCUUUCCCUCCAGAGUGGAUCCUGAGUACGGCGGAACACGUGAAAUUCCGUCGGAAUCCGGGAGGACCAUCUCCCAAGGCUAAAUACUCCCUAGUGACCGAUAGUGAACCAGUACCGUGAGGGAAAGGUGAAAAGCACCCCGGAAGGGGAGUGAAACAGUUCCUGAAACCGUGUGCCUACAAGUAGUUAGAGCCCGUUAAUGGGUGAUAGCGUGCCUUUUGUAGAAUGAACCGGCGAGUUACGAUUUGUUGCAAGGUUAAGCGGAAAAAGCGGAGCCGUAGCGAAAGCGAGUCUGAAUAGGGCGCAUAAGUAACAGGUCGUAGACCCGAAACCAGGUGAUCUACCCAUGUCCAGGAUGAAGGUAAGGUAAUACUUACUGGAGGUCCGAACCCACGCACGUUGAAAAGUGCGGGGAUGAGGUGUGGGUAGCGGAGAAAUUCCAAUCGAACUUGGAGAUAGCUGGUUCUCUCCGAAAUAGCUUUAGGGCUAGCCUCGAGGUAAAGAGUCAUGGAGGUAGAGCACUGUUUGGACUAGGGGCCCUUCUCGGGUUACCGAAUUCAGAUAAACUCCGAAUGCCAUGUACUUAUACUCGGGAGUCAGACUGCGAGUGAUAAGAUCCGUAGUCGAAAGGGAAACAGCCCAGACCACCAGUUAAGGUCCCCAAAUAUAUGUUAAGUGGAAAAGGAUGUGGGGUUGCUUAGACAACCAGGAUGUUGGCUUAGAAGCAGCCACCAUUGAAAGAGUGCGUAAUAGCUCACUGGUCGAGUGACCCCGCGCCGAAAAUGUACCGGGGCUAAACAUA
Molecule: ribosomal RNA, 1196 nt
Filed under: Listeria monocytogenes
Lineage: Bacteria; Bacillati; Bacillota; Bacilli; Caryophanales; Listeriaceae
Description: partial 23S ribosomal RNA
Rfam family: Bacterial large subunit ribosomal RNA
Source: RNAcentral